AACAUGGGGCGCAGCCUGAUGCAGCCAUGCCGCGUGUAUGAAGAAGGCCUUCGGGUUGUAAAGCACUUUCAGCGAGGAGGAAGGUGUUGAAGUUAAUACCCUUGUCAAUUGACGUUACUCGCAGAAGAAGCACCGGCUAACUCCGUGCCAGCAGCCGCGGUAAUAG
This 166-nucleotide ribosomal RNA is filed under the name Serratia marcescens. RNAcentral's name for it is "partial 16S ribosomal RNA". It matches the Rfam family "Bacterial small subunit ribosomal RNA", at positions 368 to 526 of the family's 1533-position model. Lineage: Bacteria; Pseudomonadati; Pseudomonadota; Gammaproteobacteria; Enterobacterales; Yersiniaceae. The record is from RNAcentral.